GGAUUAGAUACCCUGGUAGUCCACGCCGUAAACGAUGUCUACUAGCCGUUGGGGUCCUUGAGACUUUAGUGGCGCGGCUAACGCGAUAAGUAGACCGCCUGGGGAGUACGGCCGCAAGGUUAAAACUCAAAUGAAUUGACGGGGGCCCGCACAAGCGGUGGAGCAUGUGGUUUAAUUCGAAGCAACGCGAAGAACCUUACCAACUCUUGACAUCCAGAGAACUUAGCAGAGAUGCUUUGGUGCCUUCGGGAACUCUGAGACAGGUGCUGCAUGGCUGUCGUCAGCUCGUGCUG
RNAcentral lists this ribosomal RNA (293 nucleotides) under uncultured bacterium. RNAcentral's name for it is "partial 16S ribosomal RNA". It matches the Rfam family "Bacterial small subunit ribosomal RNA", at positions 775 to 1067 of the family's 1533-position model. The record is from RNAcentral.